GGACCUGUGUAAGGAUCCCUGUUCAUCUGUCACCCCAUUGAUCGCCAGGGUUGAUUCGGCUGAUCUGGCUGGCUAAGCAGGUGUCCCCUUCCUCCCUCACCGCUCCAUGUGCAUCCCUCACGGAACGGUCUUCCAUCUGACCCGUCUUCCAGAGGGUAUACGAGUAGCUGCGCUCCCCUGCUAGAACCUCCAAACAAGCUCUCAAGGAUCCCUGUUCCAUCCCCCAGCUCCCCACCUGCAGGGGCGUCACUUCACAAGCAGUGAAGCAGGUCUGUAGGCGUCUCUCUUC
RNAcentral lists this small nuclear RNA (289 nucleotides) under Erinaceus europaeus (western European hedgehog). RNAcentral describes it as "7SK RNA". It matches the Rfam family "7SK RNA". Rfam says of the family: 7SK was discovered as an abundant small nuclear RNA in the mid-70s but a possible function has only recently been suggested. Two independent studies have found that 7SK RNA binds the CDK9/cyclin T complex (known as elongation factor P-TEFb). P-TEFb activates transcription by phosphorylating the C-terminal domain of RNA polymerase II. The record is from Rfam by way of RNAcentral. Lineage: Eukaryota; Metazoa; Chordata; Mammalia; Eulipotyphla; Erinaceidae.